UACAGAGGGUGCGAGCGUUAAUCGGAAUUACUGGGCGUAAAGGGUGCGUAGGUGGUUAAUUAAGUCAGAUGUGAAAUCCCCAGGCUUAACCUGGGAAUUGCAUUUGAAACUGAAUGACUAGAGUACGGUAGAGGGAAGUGGAAUUUCCGGUGUAGCGGUGAAAUGCGUAGAUAUCGGAAGGAACAUCAGUGGCGAAGGCGACUUCCUGGACCGUUACUGACACUGAGGCACGAAAGCGUGGGGAGCGAACAGG
Molecule: ribosomal RNA, 253 nt
Filed under: uncultured bacterium
Lineage: Bacteria
Description: partial 16S ribosomal RNA
Rfam family: Bacterial small subunit ribosomal RNA
Source: RNAcentral